RNAcentral lists this ribosomal RNA (301 nucleotides) under uncultured bacterium. RNAcentral's name for it is "partial 16S ribosomal RNA". It matches the Rfam family "Bacterial small subunit ribosomal RNA", at positions 509 to 808 of the family's 1533-position model. The record is from RNAcentral.
CAGUCGCCACGGGAAUACGAGGGGGGCUAGCGUUGUUCGGAUUUACUGGGCGUAAAGGGCGCGUAGGCGGACUGAUAAGUCAGGGGUGAAAUCCCAAGGCUCAACCUUGGAACUGCCUUUGAUACUGUUUGUCUUGAGUUCGAGAGAGGUAAGUGGAACUGCGAGUGUAGAGGUGAAAUUCGUAGAUAUUCGCAAGAACACCAGUGGCGAAGGCGGCUUACUGGCUCGAAACUGACGCUGAGGCGCGAAAGCGUGGGGAGCGAACAGGAUUAGAUCCCCCGUAGUCCCUGUCUCUUAUACA